UUUAUGCAAAUCAAUCCUGUUCAGCCGAUCCGUUUUAUAUCGUGGCAGGGUACGAGGGGCGGGGGACAUAGUUAGCGCGAAAUCCGCGGAGGGGAGGGGGGGAAUUUGUAGGAUCGAUCGGGCGGAUCGACGAGGGGGAGUAAGGGUGGAAAAUAGGAUUGGAUCAAAGCGGUGCAAAUGAGGAGGUUAACGGCCUUCAGGCUAGUUACGUUUCCCUGUAUACCUCGUGUACACGUAGGUGUGUUGUGCUCGGCCGGCUGACCGCGUCGCCUCGUUAAUAUUAAGCAUAAGGUCAAUAAGGCGAGGGUUAAAUGGGGCGGAUGUCGCUUUGACCGGCGCUUCGCCUUCCACGUUGGCGACUAUGUACGCCUCUCCUCUAG
This is a long non-coding RNA of Apis dorsata (giant honeybee), 380 nucleotides long. RefSeq lists it as uncharacterized. Lineage: Eukaryota; Metazoa; Arthropoda; Insecta; Hymenoptera; Apidae. The record is from RefSeq and is a predicted model, not a curated record. The transcript is spliced from 3 exons.